Molecule: ribosomal RNA, 253 nt
Filed under: uncultured bacterium
Lineage: Bacteria
Description: partial 16S ribosomal RNA
Rfam family: Bacterial small subunit ribosomal RNA
Source: RNAcentral
UACGUAGGGUGCAAGCGUUGUCCGGAAUUAUUGGGCGUAAAGAGCGUGUAUGCGGCCCGAUUAGUCCGCUGUGAAAGUCCAGGGCUCAACCCUGGAAUGCCGGUGGAUACUGUCGGGCUAGAGUCCGGAAGGGGCGAGUGGAAUUCCUGGUGUAGCGGUGAAAUGCGCAGAUAUCAGGAGGAACACCAAUGGCGAAGGCAGCUCGCUGGGACGUGACUGACGCUGAGACGCGAAAGCGUGGGGAGCAAACAGG